Molecule: ribosomal RNA, 828 nt
Filed under: uncultured fungus
Lineage: Eukaryota; Fungi
Description: eukaryotic LSU rRNA
Rfam family: Eukaryotic large subunit ribosomal RNA
Source: RNAcentral
CCCGCUGAACUUAAGCAUAUUAAUAAGCGGAGGAAAAGAAACUAACAAGGAUUCCCUUAGUAACGGCGAGUGAAGCGGGAAAAGCUCAAAUUUGAAAUCUCCAGGGGCAGCCUUGGCGAAUUGUAGUUAAGAGAAGCGCUUGUUGGGGCGAGGCUGGUCUAAGUGCUCUGGAACGAGACACCGGAGAGGGUGAGAGUCCCGUGUGGCCAAGAGUACCGAGCUCCUGUACAGGGCGUUUUCGACGAGUCGGGUUGUUUGGGAAUGCAGCCCAAAAUGGGUGGUAAAUUUCAUCUAAAGCUAAAUAUGGGCACGAGACCGAUAGCGAACAAGUACCGUGAGGGAAAGAUGAAAAGCACUUUGAAAAGAGAGUCAAAAGCACGUGAAGCCGUUAAAAUGGAAACGAUUAAAGUCAGCAGUGCUUGCCUGACAAUCAAUCUCAGGUGUAUGGCAGUGGAUGGCGGGUGAGGCGUGUCGAGCGUCCACGACGGCUGUUCAUGGGUGAAGCUGUAUGCUUGGGGUGCACUUGUUGGGAUUUGGGGCAGGUCAGCAUCAGUUUGAUUUGUGGGGAAAGAUAAACGGGAAGGUGGCUUGGCCAGCAAUGGUUGGGUGUUGCAGCCCGGGAAUUGAGACAUGGAACAGACUGAGGGAAUCACGGUGCAUGCCUACAAGGCUAGCGGGUAUUUCCAUCUGGUAUCUCCUUCUUUGCUGGGUUUACAGCGUAAAAAACUGUGGCUUGGUGUCGGCUUGGGUGUCAGAUUGGGGAGCUGAGCUUAAAGUGUACUUGGGAUGUUGACGAAAUGGCUUUAACCGACCCGUCUUGAAACACGG